CCUACGGGAGGCAGCAGUGAGGAAUAUUGGUCAAUGGGAGGAAUCCUGAACCAGCCAUGCCGCGUGCAGGACGACGGCUCUACGAGUUGUAAACUGCUUUUGUACCGGGGUAAAAUGCUCUACGGGUAGGGUUUUGAAAGUACGGUACGAAUAAGGAUCGGCUAACUCCGUGCCAGCAGCCGCGGUAAUACGGAGGAUCCGAGCGUUAUCCGGAUUUAUUGGGUUUAAAGGGUGCGUAGGUUGUUUUAUAAGUUAGCGGUGAAAUACCGAUGCUCAACAUCGGGGCUGCCGCUAAUACUGUAGGACUAGAGAGCGGAUGCAGCAGGCGGAAUGUGUAGUGUAGCGGUGAAAUGCAUAGAUAUUACACAGAACACCGAUUGCGAAGGCAGCUUGCUAGGCCGGAUCUGACACUGAUGCACGAAAGCGUGGGGAUCGAACAGGAUUAGAUACCCUUGUAGUC
RNAcentral lists this ribosomal RNA (460 nucleotides) under uncultured bacterium. Its description in RNAcentral is "partial 16S ribosomal RNA". It matches the Rfam family "Bacterial small subunit ribosomal RNA", at positions 338 to 795 of the family's 1533-position model. The record is from RNAcentral.